GAUGAACGCUGGCGGCGUGCCUAAUACAUGCAAGUCGAGCGAACAGACGAGGAGCUUGCUCCUCUGACGUUAGCGGCGGACGGGUGAGUAACACGUGGAUAACCUACCUCUAAGACUGGGAUAACUUCGGGAAACCGGAGCUAAUAACGGAUAACAUGUUGAACCGCAUGGUUCAACAGUGAAAGACGGUUUUGCUGUCACUUAUAGAUGGCUCCGCGUCGCAUUAGCUAGUUGGUAAGGUAACGGCUUACCAAGGCAACGAUGCGUAGCCGACCUGAGCGGGUGAUCGGCCACACUGGAACUGAGACACGGUCCAGACUCCUACGGGAGGCAGCAGUAGGGAAUCUUCCGCGAUGGGCGAAAGCCUGACGGAGGAACGCCGCGUGAGGGAAGAAGGUCUUCGGAUGGUAAAACUCUGUUAUUAGGGAAGAACAAAUGUGUAAGUAACUAUGCACGUCUUGACGGUACCGAAUCAGAAAGCCACGGCUAACUACGUG
This 497-nucleotide ribosomal RNA is filed under the name uncultured bacterium. RNAcentral's name for it is "partial 16S ribosomal RNA". It matches the Rfam family "Bacterial small subunit ribosomal RNA", at positions 28 to 507 of the family's 1533-position model. The record is from RNAcentral.